UACCAGCACCCCGAGUGGUCGGGACGUUUAUUGGGCCUAAAGCAUCCGUAGCCGGUUCUACAAGUCCUCCGUUAAAUCCAGCUGCUUAACAGAUGGGCUGCGGAGGAUACUAUAAGACUAGGAGGCAGGAGAGGCAAGCGGUACUCAGUGGGUAGGGGUAAAAUCCGUUGAUCCAUUGAAGAACACCAGUGGCGAAGGCGACUCGCUGGACCGGAUCUGACGCUGAGGCGCGAAAGCGUGGGGAGCAAACAGG
This 253-nucleotide ribosomal RNA is filed under the name uncultured bacterium. Its description in RNAcentral is "partial 16S ribosomal RNA". It matches the Rfam family "Archaeal small subunit ribosomal RNA", at positions 474 to 727 of the family's 1478-position model. The record is from RNAcentral.